RNAcentral lists this transfer RNA (73 nucleotides) under Alosa alosa (allis shad). RNAcentral describes it as "tRNA-OTHER". The record is from RNAcentral. Lineage: Eukaryota; Metazoa; Chordata; Actinopteri; Clupeiformes; Clupeidae.
GCAGCCGUGGCCUACUGGUUAGCGCUUCGGACUUGUAACCGGAGGGUUUCCGGUUCGAACCCCGACCAGUGGG